This 1369-nucleotide long non-coding RNA is filed under the name Phascolarctos cinereus (koala). Its description in RNAcentral is "lncRNA (ENSPCIG00000027675.2)". Lineage: Eukaryota; Metazoa; Chordata; Mammalia; Diprotodontia; Phascolarctidae. The record is from RNAcentral.
CCAGAGUGGGUGCCUCUAGAGAGGGGUGGGGCUGGCUGGUCAAUCCCUGGCAUCUCUCUUCUUAGGGACACCAAAUAGAAGCUAUCGGAUGCAUGUAUAAGUCUUGCAAUAAACCCCAUGGUCCUACCUGAAUCAUCAAACUACCCUGGUAUGAAGGACAAAAGGCCUAUGCGACCUCACAUGUUGACAAGGCGGAGUUACCAGAGCUUGGCAUUACCUGGGUGCACCCACCAGUGCUUUCUCUGCAGUUGCUCAUGUUCCAUUCAAAAAAGGAGGUCACCUUGGAAAAAGAGAAGCUUUUUGAAUACAGCCCUAAGGACAGUCGAGGAGUUGGCCAAGGAGCUCUAUGGAGACACAGGUAAUCUAUGCUUUGUGAGUUAUAGAGAAAUAUGGACAAUAGAAUGGAGGUUGGUAUUUGAAUCUUCAGCCUUAUGGACCAGUAAGAUGGAUUCUUUUUCAGAGCUCAUUUCUGGAAACGCUGGUUUCAGCCCAGAGGGACAAGAUCACAGGCCAGAAAGGGCUUUGGGCUGAAGCUUCAUCCAGUGAGACGCCUUCCCCUUCUCUUCCCCCACCUUUCUAAUAAUGGAAUGGACCGUGGAUCUGCCUUGCUCUGGAAAAGCAUAGCAUGCUAGAGCUAUUCCUCUAUUUACCUGUCCUACCUCAAAAGUGUUUAUAAUCGUCUGCUUUCCCCUUCUUGAUUUCAGUCUAGAGAAUCUGCAGCUUUGAUACAAGGCAGAGGUUGGGGGUGAGGGUGAGGGUGGGGAGGGAGAACCCCUCCCUCCAUUCUCACUCUCUUGUUAUUCUUCUCCUAAUUGAACCACAGUAAAUUCAGAUAGGCACCGUUUUUCCUGACAUUUCUAUAAGUGUGGACUUUAACAAUUCCUUUUUAAUUGUCAUGGUGUUUUCUAAAACCAACUGUUGCAUCUUUUGUCACUAUGUUCAGAAAGCAGUUAUGUACAGAGGAAAGAGGGCUGGGCCUUAAUCCUGAGUUGUGGGUAGUGUUGCCCUAGGCCUCAGGUACUCCUUACUGUUAUUUUCUGAGUUCUGUCCAGGGGCUCAACCUCAGGGACUCCUCUCCUCCCCUAAGCCAUGGUCAGAAAAGAUGGAUUCUAAUCCCAUCUCAAUAGUUCUCAAUAGUGUGACCUUGGCAGCUCCCUUUUGUCUCACUCCUCUGAGUUUCCUCAUCUCUAGUAUGUAGGUACUACUAAUCCCCCAAGGUUAUUGUGAAAAAAAAAACCCACUGUAUAAAAAUGAUGUGAUUGUUUCAUACCAGCUUUUGUGUUUUAAAUAAUAGUUAUAGAUUCCCAAAACUUGUUGCCUUCUUUCUUUUUCUAAAAGGCUGCUCAAAAUUUAUUAGUGUCUGGUGAGG